CAACUACACCACUCUUCCUCUGCACAGGUUUUGAUAAAUUUCCCCAACUGUCCUUCAGAAGACAGAUACAGCAGUACUGGUACAUUGUGUGGUCAAAUGCACUUUGAAUAAGAAAAUGCAUGAAAACUGCAUGUAGUGUGAAUUGACCCCAACCCACUUGUGAGUCCAAUGAGUUUACCAAGGUGAUUUCCAGCACUAGCAACCUUAUGCGAUGACCAGCAACAAUAAUCAAUUGCCCCAGCCAAAGCCAGAGGAUUUAAGCAGCAUUAUCAGACUUCUAAAAAAUCGCCAGUGGCUCAACAUACUGCGAUUACCGAGGAUCUGAAAAACACCAACAAAGAGUGAAAAAACGCCAAAAGGAUUGAAAAAAAAUGUCAAAGUGAAAAACGCCAAGUGGAAUAAGAAUUUAGCGAUUUCUCAUUGAUUUACAGCUAGAAACUGAGCCUAAAUGUGACAACCUUUAGAAUCCUUAAUCUGUCAGACCAAGAUAACGCAGAAACAGCUGAAUGAGGCAUGGAGGGUAGAAUAUGGAUAUACUAUAUUUUGCAGCUCCUAAUAUAUAUAUACUGUCAAGUGACCACUUUUUGAAUGCUCCUAAUGCUACUUCAUAAAACGUUUAGAUAUCUUAACUUUAUGCUUUCAUUGUCAGUGUAUAAAUACCCUAUAUGAAAAAUGUUUUAUCCAUAUCAUCUUAUUUUUGUUUCACUACUUUCAGCAAUAUAACUAAUGCAUGGUUAGUGAACCAUAGUGAGGCUUUUGUACAUAAUUAAACUUUCUGAUUUUGAAAUCAUCCAGAUGACAUACAUUAGUUUUGACAUAUGGGAUAUGCACUGAGCACAACAUCAAAUAUGUAGCAAUGUAAGCAUCAUUUUCAUAACAAUCACAUCUUUGUCAUGGUUCAAACAACUGCGAGCCAUAUUACAUUGUAAGGGAGCUGUCUUCUAUCUAUGGAAAUGUAGCUGCAAAAUAGACAUUGGGGAUCCUGACUAUGUUUAUCACUCAGUCUCUAAAAUAUAGUGUAUAUAACUACUUUUUGUUAGUUGGAGGAUUAAAGGAUGUUUCCAGUUUGUGUGACUUCUUUGUACAGACCACAGAAUAGCAGACACUUACUAAGAAGUAUGAAGAAAAGUUAACCUUGCACACCACAGCAGUGUCGAGAUAUUUGACUCAACUGUGUACUGGCUUCAGAGUCAGUUAUUGAUGACUGUGUACUAGCUGCUUGUAGCACUUUUGAUAUUUUUUUGCUCAUAAAAC
Long non-coding RNA from Hyla sarda, 1254 nucleotides. RefSeq lists it as uncharacterized. The record is from RefSeq and is a predicted model, not a curated record. The transcript has 3 exons. Lineage: Eukaryota; Metazoa; Chordata; Amphibia; Anura; Hylidae.